RNAcentral lists this long non-coding RNA (427 nucleotides) under Actinidia chinensis (golden kiwifruit). RNAcentral describes it as "long non-coding RNA (ACHI_LNC001128)". The record is from RNAcentral. Lineage: Eukaryota; Viridiplantae; Streptophyta; Magnoliopsida; Ericales; Actinidiaceae.
UAAGUAAGAAAACAUAAUUAGUAAUCACGCUUUUACGUAUAAACGGUGGUACUAAUCAUGCUUUUGACCUAUUAUUUAAUUGUUAUUUGCAAAGUAAUUCUAUAUCAUUUUAAUCAGCAAAGCAAUAUAAAAAUGUAGUUAGUAGCCACGCUUUCUUAAAUGCAAAGUUAACGACUUUACUUUCACACAUCCCGAUAACAAAGUAAAAUCAACUCUAAGUAAAAUUUUUGACAUAUAGGGGUCGUUUGGCUGCCGGAUAGCAUCAGGAAAUAAGCUUUAGAGGGGGAAUAAGUUUUAGAGUGGGAUAACUUUUAACUUUAUUUGGAUGGAGUAUUAAAUAGGGAGAUAACUUUUAACUUUGUUUGGAUACUUUUUAGAAUGAGUGGAUAAGGGCAGGGGAUAAGGAAGAAAAAAUGUCAAAUGAUAU